GAUGAAGAACGCAGCGAAAUGCGAUACGUAGUGUGAAUUGCAGAAUUCAGUGAAUCAUCGAAUCUUUGAACGCACAUUGCGCCCCCUGGUAUUCCGGGGGGCAUGCCUGUCCGAGCGUCAUUACAACCCUCAAGCUCAGCUUGGUGUUGGGCCCCGCCGCCCCGGCGGGCCCUAAAGUCAGUGGCGGUGCCGUCCGGCUCCGAGCGUAGUAAUUCUUCUCGCUCUGGAGGUCCGGUCGUGUGCUCGCCAGCAACCCCCAAUUUUUUUCAGGUUGACCUCGGAUCAGGGAGGGAUACCCGCUGAACUUAAGCAUAUCAAUAAGCGGAGGA
RNAcentral lists this unclassified non-coding RNA (329 nucleotides) under soil metagenome. RNAcentral's name for it is "partial contains 5.8S ribosomal RNA, internal transcribed spacer 2, and large subunit ribosomal RNA". The stretch from base 1 to 120 matches the Rfam family "5.8S ribosomal RNA", at positions 35 to 154 of the family's 154-position model. The record is from RNAcentral.